RNAcentral lists this ribosomal RNA (492 nucleotides) under uncultured bacterium. RNAcentral's name for it is "partial 16S ribosomal RNA". It matches the Rfam family "Bacterial small subunit ribosomal RNA", at positions 29 to 507 of the family's 1533-position model. The record is from RNAcentral.
AGUGAACGCUGGCGGUAGGCCUAACACAUGCAAGUCGAACGGCAGCACAAUAAGAGCUUGCUCUUACGGGUGGCGAGUGGCGGACGGGUGAGGAAUACAUCGGAAUCUACUUUUUCGUGGGGGAUAACGUAGGGAAACUUACGCUAAUACCGCAUACGACCUACGGGUGAAAGCAGGGGAUCCUCGGACCUUGCGCGAUUGAAUGAGCCGAUGUCGGAUUAGCUAGUUGGCGGGGUAAAGGCCCACCAAGGCGACGAUCCGUAGCUGGUCUGAGAGGAUGAUCAGCCACACUGGAACUGAGACACGGUCCAGACUCCUACGGGAGGCAGCAGUGGGGAAUAUUGGACAAUGGGCGCAAGCCUGAUCCAGCCAUACCGCGUGGGUGAAGAAGGCCUUCGGGUUGUAAAGCCCUUUUGUUGGGAAAGAAAAGCAGCAGGUUAAUACCCCGCUGUUCUGACGGUACCCAAAGAAUAAGCACCGGCUAACUUCGUG